GGCUUGGAGACCCCACUCAGCGGAGGAAGGCGGCUGACAGCGAGGACACCAGGGCCAGGUCCGUCCUACACAGAAGCCUGGGAACCAGGCAGCAGGCAGCCCCCCCACAGCACCGCGCUUUCCUUUUGUCUGAGACUGUGGCUGAGCUCAGGGCUGUGAAGGUCCCAGCGAGGGUCCCAGCCCAGCUGCCACCCCAAGAGCAACCCUGAGCCUCCCCCGCCCACCCGCCAGGACUCACUGCUGAGGCCGGGCACAGCGCUGGGGGCCAGGCCCCUGAGCUUCUUGAGGGUGUUCACGGCCACAUUCAGGCAGCUCCGGGUCACAGCUGCGGCUGAGAGGCCGGGGGAUGUCUGGGGACCACCCUGGACCCCUAGUCCCCACCCGACCGGCCAGAUAGGAACUCCAGGACCUCACCUUCUCUAUGGCCUCCUGGUUGGAGGUACAGAACUUGAGACACUCCUCGAUGAACAGGGGGAAGGCAAAAGCUGCCAUGGGUGAGGGCCUCCACAAGGCCUCCAGCGGGGAACGCAGACGCGAUGAGGCCGUGCCCAUGGCUGGAGGCAAGAGUGAGGUGCGCUGGGACAGAUCAGCCUGGCUGCAGUAGGGACAGACACGCCAAGGCAAGACAGGAGCAGCAGGGGAAACUGAGGGCAGCGGAACUAAGGUCAUGGGAAACUG
RNAcentral lists this long non-coding RNA (678 nucleotides) under Homo sapiens (human). RNAcentral describes it as "HSALNT0254326". Lineage: Eukaryota; Metazoa; Chordata; Mammalia; Primates; Hominidae. The record is from RNAcentral.